AACGCACAUUGCACCUUUUGGUAUUCCGAAAGGUAUGCUUGUUCGAGCGUCGUUUAAACUAUAUCAAUUUAAUUAUUGAAUGUAUUGAGUGCUUUUUUCUCUUGGAAACAAAAGAAACACUCCAAAAUGAUUGAGCGAUCUUGACUAGAUUUAAUUGACGCAUUAAAAUUUUAUUUUCGUCAGUAGAAGAAGUCAUGGGUCUGCCAAAUUAAAACAUUCCUUUUUUUUUCUGAUUUAUUUCAGAAAAAAAGAGGAUAUCAUUAUUAUUAUCGACCUCGGAUCAAGUAGGAUUACCCGCUGAACUUAA
RNAcentral lists this unclassified non-coding RNA (307 nucleotides) under uncultured Icmadophila. RNAcentral's name for it is "partial contains 5.8S ribosomal RNA, internal transcribed spacer 2, and large subunit ribosomal RNA". Lineage: Eukaryota; Fungi; Ascomycota; Lecanoromycetes; Pertusariales; Icmadophilaceae. The record is from RNAcentral.